UGCGUAGGCAGCGAGCGUUGUUCGGAGUUACUGGGCGUAAAGGGUGCGUAGGCGGUUGUUUAAGUUUGGUGUGAAAUCUCCCGGCUCAACUGGGAGGGUGCGCCGAAUACUGAAUGACUAGAGUGCGGGAGAGGAGAGUGGAAUUCCUGGUGUAGCGGUGAAAUGCGUAGAUAUCAGGAGGAACACCGGUGGUGUAGACGGCUCUCUGGACCGUAACUGACGCUGAGGCACGAAAGCGUGGGUAGCAAACAGG
RNAcentral lists this ribosomal RNA (253 nucleotides) under uncultured bacterium. RNAcentral describes it as "partial 16S ribosomal RNA". It matches the Rfam family "Bacterial small subunit ribosomal RNA", at positions 524 to 776 of the family's 1533-position model. The record is from RNAcentral.